This 480-nucleotide ribosomal RNA is filed under the name uncultured bacterium. RNAcentral's name for it is "partial 16S ribosomal RNA". It matches the Rfam family "Bacterial small subunit ribosomal RNA", at positions 30 to 507 of the family's 1533-position model. The record is from RNAcentral.
UGAACGCUGGCGGCAUGCCUUACACAUGCAAGUCGACCGGUAACAGGUCUUCGGAUGCUGACGAGUGGCGAACGGGUGAGUAAUACAUCGGAACGUGCCCAGACGUGGGGGAUAACGAGGCGAAAGCUUUGCUAAUACCGCAUACGAUCUAAGGAUGAAAGCAGGGGACCGCAAGGCCUUGUGCGUUUGGAGCGGCCGAUGGCAGAUUAGGUAGUUGGUGGGAUAAAAGCUUACCAAGCCGACGAUCUGUAGCUGGUCUGAGAGGACGACCAGCCACACUGGGACUGAGACACGGCCCAGACUCCUACGGGAGGCAGCAGUGGGGAAUUUUGGACAAUGGGCGAAAGCCUGAUCCAGCAAUGCCGCGUGCAGGAUGAAGGCCUUCGGGUUGUAAACUGCUUUUGUACGGAACGAAAAGGCUCUGGCUAAUACCUGGGGCACAUGACGGUACCGUAAGAAUAAGCACCGGCUAACUACGUG